CUCGAGUGGCGAACGGGUGAGUAACACGUGGGUGAUCUGCCCUGCACUCUGGGAUAAGCCUGGGAAACUGGGUCUAAUACCGGAUAGGACCGCACUUUAGUGUGUGUGGUGGAAAGUUUUUUCGGUGUAGGAUGAGCCCGCGGCCUAUCAGCUUGUUGGUGGGGUAAUGGCCUACCAAGGCGGCGACGGGUAGCCGGACUGAGAGGUUGGUCGGCCACAUUGGGACUGAGAUACGGCCCAGACUCC
This 246-nucleotide ribosomal RNA is filed under the name uncultured bacterium. Its description in RNAcentral is "partial 16S ribosomal RNA". It matches the Rfam family "Bacterial small subunit ribosomal RNA", at positions 90 to 339 of the family's 1533-position model. The record is from RNAcentral.